UUCUUAUCAAGAGCGGCGGAGGGACUGGCCCAAUGAAGCCCGACAACCAGCACAUGGUGCAAUGGUGUCAAUUCCUGCAGAUUCAAUUCUGGCAGAUAAGAA
This 102-nucleotide non-coding RNA is filed under the name Sporolactobacillus laevolacticus. RNAcentral describes it as "SAM-I sequence". It matches the Rfam family "SAM riboswitch aptamer (S box leader)". Rfam says of the family: The SAM riboswitch is found upstream of a number of genes which code for proteins involved in methionine or cysteine biosynthesis in Gram-positive bacteria. The SAM riboswitch acts at the level of transcription termination control. Lineage: Bacteria; Bacillati; Bacillota; Bacilli; Caryophanales; Sporolactobacillaceae. The record is from RNAcentral. RNAcentral also lists the same sequence under 1 other name.